This 3108-nucleotide long non-coding RNA is filed under the name Ananas comosus (pineapple). Its description in RNAcentral is "long non-coding RNA (ACOM_LNC032315)". The record is from RNAcentral. Lineage: Eukaryota; Viridiplantae; Streptophyta; Magnoliopsida; Poales; Bromeliaceae.
ACAACUAGGGACCGUUUGGUUCCUUGCAGUUGUAACUGCACAAUAAUUAUAACUAUAUAUAAAUACAAAUUUAAUAUUUAAUUUGAUGUAUUUAACUCUAACGGCUGCAGAAGAAGAUUCAACUGCAGCAGUUGAAACUACGCUCAAAUUGUCCGUAAUUUCAACUGCAGAGUCAGAAAAAGUAAUCUUUAACAAAAGGUAAAAGAUAAGCUUACCUCCUUAAUUAUUUUUUAAACAAAAAAUAAAUUUUCAUCUAUACUAAUCUAUGAAUCCCCAAUAUCUUGCUGACAUGGCAUUACCUCCUUCUUUCAAAACUCCUUCCUUUCAUCUCCCAACCUCCAAAACCUCUCAUCUUCCAAAACCGUUCCCUCCUCAUCUCCCAAUAAAACCACAAUUAAAUGCAUAUAAUUGCACCAAAACUAUUCCCUCUCAUCUCCCAAACUCCAAAACUCCUCAUCUUCCAAAACCGUUUCCUCCUCAUCUUCUAAUAAAACCACAAUUGAAUGCAUGUACUUCAACAAAAUUUUGUAGAGUUAUUGACCUUCCACCUGUUGAAUUGAGAGCGCAAUAGAAUAGAAGGUUCGAUUCCUUAUAGCUCUACUUCUAGCAGUAGUUUCUUUUUUCAUUUUUCACAUUUAAUUUGUUGUUCGCUUGGAGCUUAGGAAAGCAUUUUUGGGUGUUUUUUUUUUUAUUUUUGGCAUAUUUUAUGUUUUUUUUAAUUCGUUCUAAUUUCUCGAAAAGUUCCCUUUUGUUUCAGAAAGAUGAUUUUUUUUUGUCUUGAAUGUUUAGAAUAUUUUUCCCAAUAUUAUUAUGACGAUUUUUUCUCCCUUUUUUGAGAAGCUUAUUCAAGGGGCUUUUUAUUGUUGGUUUUAUUGUUGGUUUCUAUAUUUUUCCUCUUAAAUAUAAACCGACACUAAUAUGACACUGAUAAUAUUGGAUUAUUAUCAUAGUGUAUUAUACAAUAAUUAAAAUAUCGCGUCGAUGUAGUGUGUGUGUGUGUAUAUAUAUAUAUAUAUAUAUAUAUAAAUAUACUCUUCAUCUUAAUUACAAGACUCCUAUCAUCAUUUUUUAAAGAGUAUUCAUUUUCAGCCAUUUAUUUUUGUGUCCACUCGAUGGAUAAGAGAACAAUAUUGAAAAUAUAUGAAAUUUGAUUUCUAAACACUUCAAGUGGUAUAGAUCAUGCUCAGCGGNAGCCAUAUGAAAGGUCAUAUGUAUUGCAUGCCUAGCAUUCCUCUAUUGUGAAGGGUAAAUUGCAUGUUUGGCCCACCUUUUUUUUUUUUUUCCAAAUUUUAAUUUAUUAUAAUUUUUAAUUUGAACUUUUUAAAAUUAUUAUAAGUAACUCCUAUAAUUCAAUUUAGUUUAUUAAAUUUUAAUGCAUCAUUAAUAUAAAAAUAAUAUAAUAUUUUAAUUAUUUGUGCAUUAUUAAUUACAACACAACUAUAUCACUUUUACAUUAUCGAUAUAUCAAUAUUUAAUAAACUAAAUUGAGUUAUAAAAUUUAAUUGUAAUAAUUCUGAAGUUGGAAUAAAAAAUUAUCAUAAAUUAAAAUUUCAGGACCAAAUUAUCACACGCGUUGUAGUGUAAGGACCAAACGUCCAAUUUAUCCAACUAUGAAUUAUUGAAUUUUGGUUGGUUUUUAGCCGUUCUAAGAGUGCACCGUGCACCAAGUGCAUGCAAUAGUUUCUUUUUUGAGUUGCCCAAUUUAGAAACAUCUGGAUGGGGCGAAAAGUUGCAUCUGACGAAUUUUUUUUUUUAGCCCCUUUUUUUUCUAACAUUAAUUAACUGAUGUGUCGGGGUUUAUGCGCACGCGGUAAAUAAACGAUAAUCAGGGGGUUCUAACAAGUGUGAGGCUACUCUGCCAUCGAAAGGAUGGAGUCUUCCAUGCUUCUAGUUCGUUUUUGAUGUUGCGACUUUCGAAUCGUCGAUCGGCUCCGUAAAACUUGAUCUAGAGUAUUUAAAGUAUCUAGAAAAUAAAUUUUAUGAUUUUUUGAUAUCAUUUGUUUAGUGAUCGAAGGGGUUCAAAAUCAAUAAUUUUAAUGAUCGCAGUGAGCCGUUUGCAAGUUUAACGGUGUAGAAAAAUCCAAAUCACGUGAAAUUUUGAUAGAAAAUUCUUUAUGCUAUAUAAAACAAGAUUAAUAUCUUUGAUCUAAAAUUUUAAUGUCAUAUUAUCACGUUUUGUAAGAUUUUUAUUUUCAGCCGUUGAUUUUGAGCCCCUUCGUUCACUAGGCAAAUAAUAUCAAAAAAUUGCAUAAUUUAUUUUCUAGAUACUUCAAAUACUCUAGAUCAAGUUUAACAGAGCCGAUCGACGAUUCGAAAGUCGCAACAUCGAAAACGAGUUGGAAGCACAGAAGGCUCCGUGCUUCCGAUAGCAUAGUAGCCUUACUCUUCUAAUAAUACCUGAUAUAGAAAAUUCUAAAUGAUGCGAUGAGUGCUGAAUUAAUUGUUACAGAGGACUAUUAUUAUUAUUAGCAAUAAUAAGACUUAAUUGUGGUGUUCUAGUCAAAGAAUAGUUUACCAAAGUAAGAGAAUUACAACUCGAGAAGAAUUCGACAAUUAAUAUUAAUAAUAAUAAUAUAAGAUCUAGUUUAAAUAGUUUGGUAAAUUAUUUACAUUCCUCCGUGCUUAAAUCUUAAAAUUUUAUCCUAGUCAAAUCUCUGUCCCUAGACUACAUUGGAUAACUAGGGACCGUUUGGUUUCUUGUAGUUGUAACUGCACAAUAAUUAUAACUAUAUAUAAAUACAAAUUUAAUAUUUAAUUUGAUAUUUUUAACUCUAACGGCUACAGAAGGAGAUUCAACUGUAGCAGUUGAAACUACGCUCAAAUUAUCCGUAAUUUCAGCUGCAGAGUCACAAAGAGUAAUCUUUAACAAAAGAUAAAAGAUACGCUUACCUCCUUAAUUAUUUUUUAAACAAAAAAUAAAUUUUCAUAUAUAUAAAAUAAUAAAAUUUUAAAAACUAUUUCUUAACUAGAUGCAACAAAACAAAUUAUUUAUAGUUACAAUAUUUUCUACUAUAUCCAACUAAAUAAGAUGCAUGUAGCUGCAACUGCUAUAUUUCCAACUAUACUGCAUUUGUAAUUAUAACUAACUAAACGACCCCUAAGGUUUUU